ACGAUUAUGGCGGAAUGGUAAACGCGGUUAACUUAGGAUUACCUUGUAUUAUUACAUUAUGGGUUCAAGUCCCAUUAAUCGUA
Molecule: transfer RNA, 83 nt
Filed under: Babjeviella inositovora NRRL Y-12698
Lineage: Eukaryota; Fungi; Ascomycota; Pichiomycetes; Serinales
Rfam family: tRNA
About the family: Transfer RNA (tRNA) molecules are approximately 80 nucleotides in length. Their secondary structure includes four short double-helical elements and three loops (D, anti-codon, and T loops). Further hydrogen bonds mediate the characteristic L-shaped molecular structure. tRNAs have two regions of fundamental functional importance: the anti-codon, which is responsible for specific mRNA codon recognition, and the 3' end, to which the tRNAs corresponding amino acid is attached (by aminoacyl-tRNA synthetases). tRNAs cope with the degeneracy of the genetic code in two manners: having more than one tRNA (with a specific anti-codon) for a particular amino acid; and 'wobble' base-pairing, i.e. permitting non-standard base-pairing at the 3rd anti-codon position.
Source: Rfam by way of RNAcentral